Molecule: ribosomal RNA, 996 nt
Filed under: Triticum aestivum (bread wheat)
Lineage: Eukaryota; Viridiplantae; Streptophyta; Magnoliopsida; Poales; Poaceae
Description: partial small subunit ribosomal RNA
Source: RNAcentral
AUGGCCAUUUCGUGCCGGCUCCGGCGCAGCAGCUGUCUUGCUGCAACGCUGCCUACUAUGCUCAAUGCUCAAAGCAUAGUGAACCACCUUACUGAAACUAAUCAGAGAAGCAUGUGGGCUAGCAGAAGGAUAGUGGAGGACGAACAAAUGUACAUAAUCCAUGUUCAGGGCAAUGCUGGCAUCAGUCUCCCAGUUACGCUAGUCGUCAAGAAGCUCCAGAGUGUGAACCGCUGCAAGUCAGAGAUGAUCCUGUAAGCCAGCAUCUGUCACGACAACAUCGUCAACAUCCUACACUUCAUCUAGAGGGAAGAUGCGAUGAUGCUCGUUUACGCGUACGAGGUGAAUGGCAGCCUUGACCAUUGGCUGCACGUGGAGGAGGGCGAACCACCACUCAGCUGGCCGCAGAGGAAGGCCAUCGCCAUUGGCGUGGCCCAAGGGCUCUGCCACUUACACCAUGGAUGCAAUAGACCGAUUGUCCACCACAACAUCACCUCUAAUAACAUUUUGCUUGAUCAGGAGUUGAAUGCCAAGAUCGCCAGUUUUGGUGCUGCACAGAUGAACAUAACCGGGCUCAACCAGCCAUUGCCUAUCGCGGGGUUUGUAUUUGGUAACUUUGGAUACACAGCUCCAGAAUAUGGGAGGGUGGCAAGCCAGCUGGCGGAGAAGGUAGACACGUACAGCUUCGGUGUGGUGCUGCUGGAGCUUGUCAUGGGGAGGGUGGCCAAUGGAGCAGAUGGUCAGUGAGCAAUAUGGGCAAGUGACAACUUCAGUAAGCCGAUGGCGAAGAAGCUGCAACGGUUUAAGAUUGUUGUUGACAAGGGCAUCCCAGAUCAAGAAAGGUACAUGGAGGAGAUGGCAACCAUGUUCAGGUUGGGUGUGGAUUGCACUGUCGAGGAUCCGCAGCAAAGGACUUCCAUGAAGAUGGCUCUCAAACAACUCCGUUGUGGCCAUGGGCGCGGCCGAUUCGGUGGCCUUCUCACCAGCUAUAGCAUGUAG